GCGGGUGUGGCGGAAUGGUAGACGCGGCGGACUCAAAAUCCGCUUCUGGCGACAGAGUGGGGGUUCAAGUCCCUUCACCCGCA
This 83-nucleotide transfer RNA is filed under the name Clostridiales bacterium. Its description in RNAcentral is "tRNA-Leu". It matches the Rfam family "tRNA". Rfam says of the family: Transfer RNA (tRNA) molecules are approximately 80 nucleotides in length. Lineage: Bacteria; Bacillati; Bacillota; Clostridia; Eubacteriales. The record is from RNAcentral.